CAGCCGCCACGGUAAUACGAGGGGAGCUAGCGUUGUUCGGAAUUACUGGGCGUAAAGCGCGCGUAGGCGGCUUUUUAAGUCAGAGGUGAAAGCCCGGGGCUCAACCCCGGAAUUGCCUUUGAAACUGGAAAGCUAGAAUCUUGGAGAGGUCAGUGGAAUUCCGAGUGUAGAGGUGAAAUUCGUAGAUAUUCGGAAGAACACCAGUGGCGAAGGCGACUGACUGGACAAGUAUUGACGCUGAGGUGCGAAAGCGUGGGGAGCAAACAGGAUUAGAUACCCCAGUAGUCCCUGUCUCUUAUAC
RNAcentral lists this ribosomal RNA (301 nucleotides) under uncultured bacterium. RNAcentral's name for it is "partial 16S ribosomal RNA". It matches the Rfam family "Bacterial small subunit ribosomal RNA", at positions 509 to 807 of the family's 1533-position model. The record is from RNAcentral.